This 72-nucleotide transfer RNA is filed under the name Candidatus Woesebacteria bacterium. Its description in RNAcentral is "tRNA-Lys". It matches the Rfam family "tRNA". From Rfam's summary of the family: Transfer RNA (tRNA) molecules are approximately 80 nucleotides in length. Lineage: Bacteria; Candidatus Woeseibacteriota. The record is from RNAcentral.
GGGUCCGUAGCUCAACGGUAGAGCAGUAGCCUCUUAAGCUAUUGGUUGAGAGUUCGAAUCUCUCCGGACUCA